GACGAACCGUGCGAACGUUGUUCGGAAUCACUGGGCUUAAAGGGCGCGUAGGCGGAUGACCAAGUCAGGGGUGAAAGCCCGCAGCUCAACUGCGGAAGUGCCUUUGAUACUGGUUGUCUCGAGGGAGAUAGGGGCAUGUGGAACUUCCGGUGGAGCGGUGAAAUGCGUAGAUAUCGGAAGGAACGCCGGUGGCGAAGGCGGCCCGCUGGACCCCAUCUGACGCUGAGGCGCGAAAGCCAGGGGAGCGAACGGG
This 253-nucleotide ribosomal RNA is filed under the name uncultured bacterium. RNAcentral describes it as "partial 16S ribosomal RNA". It matches the Rfam family "Bacterial small subunit ribosomal RNA", at positions 524 to 776 of the family's 1533-position model. The record is from RNAcentral.